This 424-nucleotide ribosomal RNA is filed under the name uncultured rumen bacterium. RNAcentral's name for it is "bacterial SSU rRNA". It matches the Rfam family "Bacterial small subunit ribosomal RNA", at positions 354 to 776 of the family's 1533-position model. The record is from RNAcentral.
GUGGGGAAUAUUGGACAAUGGCCGGAAGGCUGAUCCAGCCAUGCCGCGUGAAGGAUAAGGUCCUAUGGAUUGUAAACUUCUUUUGAGUGGGAGCAAUAAGGAUGUCGUGACAUCCGAUGAGAGUACCAUUCGAAUAAGCAUCGGCUAACUCCGUGCCAGCAGCCGCGGUAAUACGGAGGAUGCGAGCGUUAUCCGGAUUUAUUGGGUUUAAAGGGUGCGUAGGCGGUUUGUCAAGUCAGCGGUGAAACGCAAGGGCUCAACCCUUGACCUGCCGUUGAAACUGUCGGACUAGAAUGCGGAUGCUGUGGGAGGAAUGUGUGGUGUAGCGGUGAAAUGCAUAGAUAUCACACAGAACACCGAUUGCGAAGGCAUCUCACAAAUCCGUGAUUGACGCUGAGGCACGAAAGUGUGGGGAUCAAACAGG